RNAcentral lists this ribosomal RNA (1443 nucleotides) under human gut metagenome. RNAcentral describes it as "bacterial LSU rRNA". It matches the Rfam family "Bacterial large subunit ribosomal RNA", at positions 1402 to 2925 of the family's 2925-position model. The record is from RNAcentral.
AUCAAGCUUAUCGAUACCGUCCACAUACGGUAGAAAUUCCGUAGCCUCCGAAGAUUUAAGCACAGGGACACUUUUGAAGGGCUGAGCCGGGCGUUGGUUGCCCCGGUCGAAAGGGACACGAUUGAGUGGAAGUCAGUUUGGAAAGAGGCGAGAAAAGCUGUGUGUAUAUGAAAGGAGCCCGUACCGCAAACCGACACAGGUAGACAGGAAGAAGAUUCUAAGGCCAGCGGGAGAAGGGUUGUUAAGGAACUCGGCAAGUUGACCCCGUAACUUCGGGAGAAGGGGUGCUUACGAAGGUAAGCCGCAGAGAAUAGGCCCAAGCGACUGUUUAGCAAAAACACAGCUCUAUGCUAAAUCGAAAGAUGACGUAUAUGGGGUGACACCUGCCCGGUGCUGGAAGGUUAAGAGGAGAUGUGAGAGCAUUGAAUUGAAGCCCCAGUAAACGGCGGCCGUAACUAUAACGGUCCUAAGGUAGCGAAAUUCCUUGUCAGGUAAGUUCUGACCCGCACGAAAGGUGUAACGAUCUGGGCACUGUCUCAACAACCCGCCCGGCGAAAUUGUAGUACCGGUGAAGAUGCCGGUUACCCGCGACUAGACGGAAAGACCCCAUGGAGCUUUACUGUAGCCUAAUAUUGGAUUUCGGUAUUUCACGUACAGGAUAGGUGGGAGACUGGGAAGCACAGGCGUCAGCUUGUGUGGAGUCGACCUUGGGAUACCACUCUUGGAGUGCUGGAAUUCUAACCUGCGGCUUUGAAGCAAGUCGGGGGACAUUGUUAGGUGGGCAGUUUGACUGGGGCGGUCGCCUCCUAAAGAGUAACGGAGGCGUUCAAAGGUUCGCUCAGCUUGAACGGAAAUCAAGCAAAAGAGUGCAAACGCAGAAGCGAGCCUAACUGCGAGACUGACGGGUCGAGCAGUAACGAAAGUUGGAGUUAGUGAUCCGGCGGUAUGUGAGUGGAAAUGCCGUCGCUCAACGGAUAAAAGCUACCCUGGGGAUAACAGGCUGAUCUCCCCCAAGAGUCCACAUCGACGGGGAGGUUUGGCACCUCGAUGUCGGCUCAUCGCAUCCUGGGGCUGUAUUCGGUCCCAAGGGUUUGGCUGUUCGCCAAUUAAAGCGGUACGCGAGCUGGGUUCAGAACGUCGUGAGACAGUUCGGUCCCUAUCUGUCGUGGGCGUAGGAUAUUUGCAAGGAGCUGUCCCUAGUACGAGAGGACCGGGAUGGACGCACCUCUGGUGCACCAGUUGUCACGCCAGUGGCACAGCUGGGCAGCUAUGUGCGGAACGGAUAAACGCUGAAGGCAUCUAAGCGUGAAGCCGCCCUUAAGAUAAGAUAUCCCUUCUGUUUACAGAGUAAGACCCCUUGAAGACUACAAGGUUGAUAGGCUCAAAGUGUAAGCACGGUGACGUGUUUAGCUAGCGAGUACUAAUCGGUCGAGGGCUUAACCU